UUGCUUUGGUAGCACAUAUACUAAAAUUGGAACAAUACGGUGAUAAGCAUGGCCCCUUUGCAAGGGUGACACCCAAAUUUGUGAAGUAUUCCAUUUAUUU
This is a small nuclear RNA of Callithrix jacchus (white-tufted-ear marmoset), 100 nucleotides long. NCBI's taxonomy places the organism in Eukaryota, Metazoa, Chordata, Mammalia, Primates, Cebidae. The record is from Ensembl.